Molecule: ribosomal RNA, 294 nt
Filed under: uncultured soil bacterium
Lineage: Bacteria
Description: partial 16S ribosomal RNA
Rfam family: Bacterial small subunit ribosomal RNA
Source: RNAcentral
UAAUACCGGAUAAGCCCUUACGGAGAAAGAUUUAUCGCCAAAGGAUCGGCCCGCGUCUGAUUAGCUAGUUGGUGGGGUAAUGGCCCACCAAGGCGACGAUCAGUAGCUGGUCUGAGAGGAUGAUCAGCCUCAUUGGGACUGAGACACGGCCCAAACUCUUACGGGAGGCAGCAGUAGGGAAUAUUGGACAAUGGGCGCAAGCCUGAUCCAGCCAUGCCGCGUGAGUGAUGAAGGCCUUAGGGUUGUAAACCCCUUUCAGCGGGGAAGAUAAUGACGGUACCCGCAGAAGAAUCC